RNAcentral lists this ribosomal RNA (301 nucleotides) under uncultured bacterium. RNAcentral's name for it is "partial 16S ribosomal RNA". It matches the Rfam family "Bacterial small subunit ribosomal RNA", at positions 509 to 807 of the family's 1533-position model. The record is from RNAcentral.
CAGUUGCCGCGGUAAUACAGAGGGUGCGAGCGUUAAUCGGAUUUACUGGGCGUAAAGCGUGCGUAGGCGGCUUCUUAAGUCGGAUGUGAAAUCCCUGAGCUUAACUUAGGAAUUGCAUUCGAUACUGGGAAGCUAGAGUAUGGGAGAGGAUGGUAGAAUUCCAGGUGUAGCGGUGAAAUGCGUAGAGAUCUGGAGGAAUACCGAUGGCGAAGGCAGCCAUCUGGCCUAAUACUGACGCUGAGGUACGAAAGCAUGGGGAGCAAACAGGAUUAGAUACCCCAGUAGUCCCUGUCUCUUAUAC